Molecule: unclassified non-coding RNA, 329 nt
Filed under: soil metagenome
Description: partial contains 5.8S ribosomal RNA, internal transcribed spacer 2, and large subunit ribosomal RNA
Rfam family: 5.8S ribosomal RNA (bases 1-120)
Source: RNAcentral
GAUGAAGAACGUAGCGAAAUGCGAUAAGUAAUGUGAAUUGCAGAAUUCCGUGAAUCAUCGAAUCUUUGAACGCACAUUGCGCCCCUCGGUAUUCCGGGGGGCAUGCCUGUCCGAGCGUCAUUACAACCCUCAAGCUCAGCUUGGUGUUGGGCCCCGCCGCCCCGGCGGGCCCUAAAGUCAGUGGCGGUGCCGUCCGGCUCCGAGCGUAGUAAUUCUUCUCGCUCUGGAGGUCCGGUCGUGUGCUCGCCAGCAACCCCCAAUUUUUUUCAGGUUGACCUCGGAUCAGGUAGGGAUACCCGCUGAACUUAAGCAUAUCAAUAAGCGGAGGA